UACGUAGGGGGCAAGCGUUGUCCGGAUUUAUUGGGCGUAAAGAGCGUGUAGGCGGCCAGGUAGGUCCGUUGUGAAAACUGGAGGCUUAACCUCCAGCUGUCGAUGGAAACCAUCUGGCUAGAGUCCGGAAGAGGAGAGUGGAAUUCCUGGUGUAGCGGUGAAAUGCGCAGAUAUCAGGAAGAACACCCGUGGCGAAGGCGGCUAUCUGGACGGUUUCUGACGCUAAGACGCGAAAGCGUGGGGAGCAAACAGG
Molecule: ribosomal RNA, 253 nt
Filed under: uncultured bacterium
Lineage: Bacteria
Description: partial 16S ribosomal RNA
Rfam family: Bacterial small subunit ribosomal RNA
Source: RNAcentral